This 21-nucleotide non-coding RNA is filed under the name Caenorhabditis elegans. Lineage: Eukaryota; Metazoa; Nematoda; Chromadorea; Rhabditida; Rhabditidae. The record is from RNAcentral.
UGCAAUCGUGAAUUUCAACUU